This 840-nucleotide ribosomal RNA is filed under the name uncultured bacterium. Its description in RNAcentral is "bacterial SSU rRNA". It matches the Rfam family "Bacterial small subunit ribosomal RNA", at positions 54 to 918 of the family's 1533-position model. The record is from RNAcentral.
CAUGCAGUCGACGAGAACCGGAGCUUGCUCCGGUGGAAAGUGGCGAACGGGUGAGUAACACGUGAGAAAUCUGUCCUAGAGACCGGGACAACCAUCGGAAACGAUGGCUAAUACCGGAUACCCUCUCCCGGUCGCAUGGCCGGGCGAGGAAAUGCUCAGGUGCUCUAGGAGGAUCUCGCGGCCUAUCAGCUUGUUGGUGGGGUAACGGCCUACCAAGGCAUCGACGGGUAGCUGGUCUGAGAGGACGAUCAGCCACACUGGGACUGAGACACGGCCCAGACUCCUACGGGAGGCAGCAGUGGGGAAUAUUGCGCAAUGGGCGAAAGCCUGACGCAGCAACGCCGCGUGAGGGAUGACGGCUUUCGGGUUGUAAACCUCUUUCAGUGAUGACGAAAAUGACGGUAGUCACAGAAGAAGCUCCGGCCAACUACGUGCCAGCAGCCGCGGUAACACGUAGGGAGCGAGCGUUGUCCGGAUUUAUUGGGCGUAAAGAGCUCGUAGGCGGUUUCGUAAGUCGGAUGUGAAAACUCAGGGCUCAACCCUGAGACGCCAUCUGAUACUGCGAUGACUAGAGUCCGGUAGAGGAGCAUGGAAUUCCUGGUGUAGCGGUGGAAUGCGCAGAUAUCAGGAGGAACACCAACGGCGAACGCAGUGCUCUGGGCCGGUACUGACGCUGAGGAGCGAAAGCAUGGGGAGCAAACAGGAUUAGAUACCCUGGUAGUCCAUGCCGUAAACGUUGGGCACUAGUGUGGGUCUUCUAACGGACUCCGUGCCGUAGCUAACGCAUUAAGUGCCCGCCUGGGGAGUACGGCCGCAAGCUAAACUCAAGGAAUGACGGGG